GACGAACGCUGGCGGCGUGCUUAACACAUGCAAGUCGAACGGAUAGGCCCUGCUUUUGCGGGGUGCUAGAGUGGCGAACGGGUGAAUAACACGUGAGUAACCUGGCCUGGACUUUGGGAUAACUUCAGGCAACUGGUGCUAAUACCGGAUAGGAGCUCCUGCUGCAUGGUGGGGGUUGGAAAGUAUCGGCGGUGAGGGAUGGACUCGCGGCUUAUCAGCUUGUUGGUGGGGUAGUGGCCUACCAAGGCUUUGACGGGUAGCCGGCCUGAGAGGGUGACCGGCCACAUUGGGACUGAGAUACGGCCCAGACUCCUACGGGAGGCAGCAGUGGGGAAUAUUGCACAAUGGGCGGAAGCCUGAUGCAGCAACGCCGCGUGCGGGAUGACGGCCUUCGGGUUGUAAACCGCUUUCGCCUGUGACGAAGCGUGAGUGACGGUAAUGGGUAAAGAAGCACCGGCUAACUACGUG
RNAcentral lists this ribosomal RNA (468 nucleotides) under uncultured bacterium. RNAcentral describes it as "partial 16S ribosomal RNA". It matches the Rfam family "Bacterial small subunit ribosomal RNA", at positions 28 to 507 of the family's 1533-position model. The record is from RNAcentral.